Labrus bergylta (ballan wrasse) is the source of this 1066-nucleotide non-coding RNA. The record is from RefSeq and is a predicted model, not a curated record. NCBI's taxonomy places the organism in Eukaryota, Metazoa, Chordata, Actinopteri, Labriformes, Labridae.
CCUGAACACCUGGUUCCUGAACACCUGGGCUGUGUCUGAAAUCACUCCCUAUCCACUAUGUAGUGGACACGCCAUUUUGUAGUGCAGUCUGAAUUCUGAGUGAGCAUGGUCAUACCCUAUAUAGUCCACUCAAUGUAUCCCACAAUGCAUUUUGAAAAGUAGUGUAUGAGCGAUGGUCACUAUGCAAGCAAUAUAUACCAUCAUGCAUUGCGGUUCAAACAGAAGAAAUGGCCGACAGACAGGACCACGAAAGCGUGCAGCGGGAGCUGACUUUUAAAAUGUUCAACGAUUGUUUCACUUUGGAUUUCCGCUUUUCAGGAUUAUGAGACACGUUAUAACUUGUAUAUCACAGGUACUAUAAUUACGCCUCUACGGUAAAAACCCAGCUAGCUAGCAUUAGCCUUUAGCUAUCUUUUAGCCACCAUUAGUAGCAUGUUAGCAUUGCUAACUAGCGUCAGCGGUAAAUUGCAUUGGCAUUUCACUAAAGUACCGGAGCAAAAUUGAUCUUAUUCUGUUCAGGGACUGAUGACGAUGUAGCCCAGCUGAUCCGGCUGAGGAGGGAGAAGGACCACCCCUUCAGCGGGAGGCGGUUUGCUGCUGCUGCAGGAUGGGAAACUUUGCUGAAAGACAUGCUGCUGUCUGAUCGAGUCAGUCCUGCUCGGGCGGAUAAAAAGUGGGAGAACUUGAAGAAAACGUACAAGUCAUGAUCAUCCAGAGCUGGCGGAUUUUCAAUCGGGGCUGAAAGAGCAGCAGCCAUGCGUCCACGCAGCUGCUCCCCACACUGCGAGUCAGGCUGAAGCUGGCCGUCUCCAUCAUCCGGCCUCAGUGCCUCUUCAACUGGUUCAAUUGUGUCGCCAUCCCUGAGGCAGAAAUUGUGGAGGAUGGCACAACAAGCCACCACCUCCACAGAGAACACAGGGCUCACUUCUAGGGCCUUGAAAAAGACGGAGCGCCAUCUAGCCUUCAUAAUACCAAAGGCCCGCUCGAUAACUGUCAUGAUUUGGUUUUGAAUUUGAGUUUCCCUGUUUUACCCCAGUGUUGCUUGUUUCCCUUGUGUGUUAAUGUU